UAACCAUCGGUGGUUCAGUGGUAGAAUGCUCCACUGCCACGCGGGCGGUCCGGGUUCGAUUCCCGGACGAUUAA
Molecule: transfer RNA, 74 nt
Filed under: Cordylochernes scorpioides
Lineage: Eukaryota; Metazoa; Arthropoda; Arachnida; Pseudoscorpiones; Chernetidae
Description: tRNA-Gly
Rfam family: tRNA
About the family: Transfer RNA (tRNA) molecules are approximately 80 nucleotides in length.
Source: RNAcentral